CUAUAGGGGAUUUAAGAGGCUCGAUUAUAUAGGAUAUAUUAUUAUGACGCUUAUAGUAAUAAUGAAAUUAAUAAGCUUACUAGGGAAGGGAUUGUUAGUUAUCAACUUUUUCUAGGAAUCUAAUUAACUAACUAAACUUGUAGAAGCUUAUAACGAAGUAUUUUCGGACAGGAGUUCGAUUCUCCUCAGCUCCACCA
RNAcentral lists this transfer-messenger RNA (197 nucleotides) under Candidatus Cloacimonadota bacterium. RNAcentral describes it as "partial transfer-messenger RNA". It matches the Rfam family "transfer-messenger RNA", at positions 163 to 374 of the family's 374-position model. Rfam says of the family: Bacterial tmRNA, also known as 10Sa RNA or SsrA, is named for its dual tRNA and mRNA-like properties. The record is from RNAcentral. Lineage: Bacteria; Pseudomonadati; Candidatus Cloacimonadota.